This 318-nucleotide long non-coding RNA is filed under the name Lathyrus oleraceus (garden pea). RNAcentral's name for it is "Pisum sativum (pea) long non-coding RNA (PSAT_LNC023465)". Lineage: Eukaryota; Viridiplantae; Streptophyta; Magnoliopsida; Fabales; Fabaceae. The record is from RNAcentral.
UUAAUUUUUCAAACAUUUUGAGAUUCAACUUAUGAGAUCCAAUUAUUCAUAUUUUUCUUGACUUAUCAUAAUUUUCUCAAACAUUUCUUCUAUGUUUUGGUGCUUGAUUUGAAUUUUCUCUUUAUUUCCCAUUUUUAAUCAUUUUUAAUCCUUUUUAUUUCAUUUUUAAUUCAAUUUUUGUCAUUCAUUUGACUUUGCUUGAGUGAUUGCUUGGUUGAAGAGAUCUUCAACAUUUCAAAUCAUUGAUAGAUGGUCCCUUGGUUGACUCAAUCUUCUCUAAUUCAAUAUUUUGAUAGAUGGUCAUUUGAUCAUAUUUUU